Molecule: non-coding RNA, 46 nt
Filed under: Trichobilharzia regenti
Lineage: Eukaryota; Metazoa; Platyhelminthes; Trematoda; Strigeidida; Schistosomatidae
Source: RNAcentral
GUACUGCUGAAAAGUCCCAAAAUAGGACGAAACAGUUGUUCAGUAC